UCAGAUCAUGUCCUCUUUUUUCAUUUUCUUGAUGGCGAAGAGUGAACCAGUCCGGUGGACCUCGCCUGAGAAGGUGACCAGAGGUCCAGCGCCGGUGGUGUGCUGGACAGGUUCUGAGCCAUUGAUCUCAUUUAAAAUGUUUUAAUCUUGGGCAUUGGUUGUGAUUACCACGUGUGUGGCAUGCUGACUAAGUUUCACCAUGGAAUGCGCGUUUCCAUCCACUUGAUCUGCCACCUCAAUUAAUUAGGGAGAUC
This 254-nucleotide long non-coding RNA is filed under the name Lathyrus oleraceus (garden pea). RNAcentral describes it as "Pisum sativum (pea) long non-coding RNA (PSAT_LNC013404)". Lineage: Eukaryota; Viridiplantae; Streptophyta; Magnoliopsida; Fabales; Fabaceae. The record is from RNAcentral.